AAAUUAUACAAUGGAGAGUUUGAUCCUGGCUCAGGAUGAACGCUAGCGGCAGGCCUAACACAUGCAAGUCGAGGGGCAUCACGAGGUAGCAAUACUUUGGUGGCGACCGGCGCACGGGUGCGUAACGCGUAUGUAACCUACCUAUAACAGGGGCAUAACACUGAGAAAUCGGUACUAAUACCC
Molecule: ribosomal RNA, 183 nt
Filed under: Alistipes onderdonkii
Lineage: Bacteria; Pseudomonadati; Bacteroidota; Bacteroidia; Bacteroidales; Rikenellaceae
Description: partial 16S ribosomal RNA
Rfam family: Bacterial small subunit ribosomal RNA
Source: RNAcentral